GUCAAUGGCCUAACGGCUGAACCAGCAAUUUGAAAGAAUGAAUAUAAUUAACGAGGAAUACGUAUAAAUUUCUAGCUAAGAAAAAACAACGAUCUUUUUUAACUAUAAGUCUUGGCCAAAUUACGUGCCAGCAGUCGCGGUAAUACGUAGAAGACUAGUGUUAUUCAUGUUUAAUCGGUUUAAAGGGUACCUAGACGGAAAAUCAAGCCAGUAUUAUAUGGUACUAAUUUUCUAGAGCUUUAUGUAAGAAUAUCGAAUUGUUAGAUGAGAGAUAAAAUUCAUUGAUACUGACAAGACGGGUAACAGCGAAGGCGCUAUUCUAUGUAAAAACUGACGUUGAGGGACGAAGCCUUGGGUAGCAAUAAGGAUUAGAUACCCUAGUAGUCCAAGGAGAAAAUUAUGAGUGCCAUAGACUAGUAAAUAUUAGUUUAUAAAUGAAAGUGUAAGCAUUCCACCUCAUGAGUAAAGUGGCAACGCCGAAAUUGAAAUCAUUAGACCGUGUCUGAAACCAGUAGUGAAGUAUGUUAUUUAAUUCGAUGAUCCGCGAAUAACCUUACCACGUUUUGAAUUUAUAGGAAUAUAACACAAGCGUUGCACGGCUGUCUUAAGUUAAUGUCGUGAGAUUUAGGUUCGUUUCUUUAAUUAACGAAAACCCCUGUUUUAAUUUAAUUUAAAGCAAUCUUCCGGUAUAUCUGGUUGA
This 700-nucleotide ribosomal RNA is filed under the name Cladophialophora hostae. RNAcentral's name for it is "SSU rRNA". It matches the Rfam family "Bacterial small subunit ribosomal RNA", at positions 367 to 1169 of the family's 1533-position model. Lineage: Eukaryota; Fungi; Ascomycota; Eurotiomycetes; Chaetothyriales; Herpotrichiellaceae. The record is from RNAcentral.